UACGGAGGAUGCGAGCGUUAUCCGGAUUUAUUGGGUUUAAAGGGUGCGUAGGCGGGCUUUUAAGUCAGCGGUAAAAAUUCGGGGCUCAACCCCGUCCGGCCGUUGAAACUGGGGGUCUUGAGUGGGCGAGAAGAAGGCGGAAUGCGUGGUGUAGCGGUGAAAUGCAUAGAUAUCACGCAGAACCCCGAUUGCGAAGGCAGCCUUCCGGCGCCCUACUGACGCUGAGGCACGAGAGUGCGGGGAUCGAACAGG
RNAcentral lists this ribosomal RNA (252 nucleotides) under uncultured bacterium. RNAcentral describes it as "partial 16S ribosomal RNA". It matches the Rfam family "Bacterial small subunit ribosomal RNA", at positions 524 to 776 of the family's 1533-position model. The record is from RNAcentral.